Acyrthosiphon pisum (pea aphid) is the source of this 595-nucleotide long non-coding RNA. RefSeq lists it as uncharacterized. The transcript is spliced from 2 exons. The record is from RefSeq and is a predicted model, not a curated record. Lineage: Eukaryota; Metazoa; Arthropoda; Insecta; Hemiptera; Aphididae.
GCUGCACACGAUAGAUUCCAUCUUAAACCGUGCUUCCGUGCUGCAGCAGCGGCCCGCGGUUCCUCCUAAGUCUUAAGCCGCGUACACACUUGUAACAUUUGUGCGUAACAUCCUUUGAUGCGGCCAAAUUUACCGACAACUGGUGGAACGGUGUUACGGCGUUACAGAAAAUGUUACAAGUGUGUACGCGGCUUAAGACACGAAGUAGAGAAGAAUAUGUAUCUUCUUAAAUCGUGGGUUUCUCUGUCGAGGUAGCCAAUUAAUAUUUUAAAGUAUUUGAGGUAACCUAGGUAUAUCAUGGUAUAUCCUAAUCUGUUUCUCACCAAUUCCAUUAUCACAUUCCUUUUUUUUGCCGCCAUAACCACAUUAUCGGCUGUAUAUUCUUUGGUUCGCGUCUCGAGAUCAUUAUUCACGAAUUACGAUUACGCGUUUAUUUGAUUAACCAGUUUGUAACUACAGUUCGUUCCAACGAACCUUGAUCGCAGUUUCAAAAGAAUACCACCAGACAGUUUUCAAAAUGUGGGGUGACGAUGAAGGUGGGUUUAAUGUCACAAUGACGCAAAGUCCAACAACAGCAUCUGGAGUUGAACCAAAA